AAAUUGAAGAGUUUGAUCAUGGCUCAGAUUGAACGCUGGCGGCAGGCCUAACACAUGCAAGUCGAGCGGCAGCGGGAAAGUAGCUUGCUACUUUUGCCGGCGAGCGGCGGACGGGUGAGUAAUGCCUGGGAAA
Molecule: ribosomal RNA, 133 nt
Filed under: Aeromonas sp. PrichA-15
Lineage: Bacteria; Pseudomonadati; Pseudomonadota; Gammaproteobacteria; Aeromonadales; Aeromonadaceae
Description: partial 16S ribosomal RNA
Rfam family: Bacterial small subunit ribosomal RNA
Source: RNAcentral